Molecule: long non-coding RNA, 808 nt
Organism: Agrilus planipennis (emerald ash borer)
Lineage: Eukaryota; Metazoa; Arthropoda; Insecta; Coleoptera; Buprestidae
Exons: 3
Source: RefSeq, a predicted model, not a curated record
UCAGUUGUGUUUAUCAAUUAAUAGUAUGAAAAGUAUGUACACAUUUAGUUUUAUAAGUGUAGUGUUUUUGGUUUCAAUAAAAAGCCAAAGGUUUAUGGAUAGAACCUGCCAGAGUUAUGGUUCGUACACAGUACAAGAAUUCAAUCUUGAAAGGUUUUCUGGAAUGUGGUAUGUAUAUAAAGCGUACAAAAAUGAGUUAGAAGAUAACGUAACUUGUGCUCAGAUGAAUUAUACUGCAAUUGAUACAGAAUCUUUAUCAAUAAAUCAUCAGUCUUUUGAUAACAAUAAAUAUAUUGUUAGUAAAGCCUCACAUCAAGGUGUGUUAAAAAUGGUUUAUCCUGAGUUAGAGAACGGUUAUUUCCAUCUCUACAAAGACAAUCAGUUUUCGAUAAAACUUCUUUAUUUAAUUAUGAAGACAGACUACAAAAAUUAUGCAGCAGUUUGGGCCUGUUCAAAUAUCGGGUGGAGGAGUUUACAAUUUCUCUGGAUCCUUUCCCGAGGUGGUAAGUUAAUGGAUUACAUGGAAAAUAAAAUAAACAAGAAAUUAUUAUUAAAUGAAAUAGAAUUGAAAAAUAUUCGAGUGAUGAAUAAAAAACCAAAAUUAUGUGAAAAACGAAAUAAAAACAAUAAUAAUUGAACAAGACUUUAUAAAACACCAUGCAGUACGUAUCCUGCUUGCUUCUCUUGAUAUUUAGUAAAAAGCAAUUCCUGUCGUUCAGCCAACAAGUUCAAUUAUUAGGUUUAUACAAAAUGGCAUAGAAAAAAGCACUUUCAGUUUUUCAGAUUGAUAAUUUAAAACAAAAGCACA